ACUAAUGUGUAAUAGCAGUGUUAAUUCUCCCUUGCAGGAGCCUUUAUCUAAGCCAUGUUACAGCAGUAUAUCAGACUGUUAUCUGGCCUGGCAUUCCUCAUAACUUGUACACCAGCAAUAGUGGAGAAUACAUGGACAACUGCUUGGAGAACCAUUAAAUCCAUUAUUUUUAAAAAAAUGGAAAAAAUAUGGCACCACAACAAACCUGCCAAGAGAGGGUCUUCCACCAAAACUCACAGACCAGGCAAGGAGGGCAUUAAUCAGAGAGGCAACAAAGAGACCAAAGAUAACCCUGAAGGAGCUACAAAGUAUCUGUCCAUAGGACCACUUUAAGCUGGAAACUACAAAGAGCUGGGUUUUAAUGAAGAGUAUCCAGAAAAAAAGCCAUUGCUUAAAGAAAAAAUAAGCAAACAUGUUUGCUGUUCGCCAACAGGCAUGUGGGAGACUCCCCAAACAUAUGGAAAAAGGUACUCUGGUCAGAUGAGACUAAAAGUGAGCUUUUUGGGCAUCAAGGAAAACGCUAUGUCUGGGAAACUGGUCAGAAUUGAAGGAAUGAUGGGUGUCGCUAAAUAUAGAGAAAUUCUUGAGGGAAACCUGUUUCAGUCUUCUAGAAAUUUGAGAUUGGGACGGAGGUUAACCUUCCAGCAGGACAAUGAUCCUAAGUAUACUGCUAAAUCAACACUCGACUGGUUUAAGGGGAAACAUUUAAAUGUCUUGGAAUGACCUAGUCAAAGGCCCAGACCUCAACCCAACUGAGAAUCUGUGGUAUAAUUUAAAAAUUGUUCAUCCAACCUGAAGAAGGGUCAAAACUCCCAGUGGCUAGACUUGCCAAGCUUAUAGAGGUACCACAAAAGACCUGCAGCUGUAAUUGCUGUAAAAGGUGGCUCUACAAAGUAUUGACUUUGGUAGGAGAAUAGUUAUACACACUCAAGUUUUCUUUUUUUUGUCUUGUUUUCUGUUUGCUUCACAAUAAAAAAAUAAUUUGCACUCUUCAAA
Molecule: long non-coding RNA, 996 nt
Organism: Bombina bombina (fire-bellied toad)
Lineage: Eukaryota; Metazoa; Chordata; Amphibia; Anura; Bombinatoridae
Exons: 2
Source: RefSeq, a predicted model, not a curated record